RNAcentral lists this ribosomal RNA (394 nucleotides) under uncultured bacterium. Its description in RNAcentral is "bacterial SSU rRNA". It matches the Rfam family "Bacterial small subunit ribosomal RNA", at positions 28 to 424 of the family's 1533-position model. The record is from RNAcentral.
GAUGAACGCUAGCGGCAGGCCUAACACAUGCAAGUCGAGGGGCAGCACGUCUUCGGAUGGUGGCGACCGGCGCACGGGUGCGUAACGCGUAUGCAACCUACCUCUUACAGUGGGAUAGCCCAGAGAAAUUUGGAUUAAUACCGCAUAGUAUACAGAUUCAGCAUUGGGACUGUAUUAAACAUUUAUGGGUAAGAGAUGGGCAUGCGUUCUAUUAGUUAGUUGGAGUGGUAACGGCACCCCAAGACAGCGAUAGAUAGGGCCCUGAGAGGGGAUCCCCCGACACUGGUACUGAGACACGGACCAGACUCCUACGGGAGCAGCAGUGAGGAAUAUUGGACAAUGGGCGAGAGCCUGAUCCAGCCAUGCCGCGUGCAGGAAGACGGCCCUAUGGGUU